GUACUUGCUUAGGCAGCACAUAUGUUACAAUUGGAACAUUGCAGAGAACGCUCGCAUGGCCCUGAGCAAGGAUGACCCGCAAGUUGUGAAACAUCCCAUGUUUAA
Jaculus jaculus (lesser Egyptian jerboa) is the source of this 105-nucleotide small nuclear RNA. The record is from Ensembl. NCBI's taxonomy places the organism in Eukaryota, Metazoa, Chordata, Mammalia, Rodentia, Dipodidae.